UGUUUCAAAACAGUUGAGUGAACAGUUGGCCAGUGUACGGUCAGUACAGCAUCUUUCUCUGUGUGACGAGAGGUCUUGGUGAUCUUAAGUGUUAGGAAUUGUUUUCAGUAUUUUUAUUUCUGUACCUGGAACGGCCCGCUAUUACUGCUGCUAUAGAGUAUUACUCUGCUGUUUUAACUGCUGAAUAUAAUUCUGCUGCAAUUACUCUGCUGUUUUAACUGCUA
Biomphalaria pfeifferi is the source of this 224-nucleotide non-coding RNA. NCBI's taxonomy places the organism in Eukaryota, Metazoa, Mollusca, Gastropoda, Planorbidae. The record is from the annotation of a GenBank genome assembly.